UACGUAGGGUGCAAGCGUUAAUCGGAAUUACUGGGCGUAAAGCGUGCGCAGACGGUUUUGUAAGUCAGAUGUGAAAUCCCCGGGCUUAACCUGGGAACUGCGUUUGAAACUACAAGGCUAGAGUGUGGCAGAGGGGGGUGGAAUUCCACGUGUAGCAGUGAAAUGCGUAGAGAUGUGGAGGAACACCGAUGGCGAAGGCAGCCCCCUGGGUUAACACUGACGCUCAGGCACGAAAGCGUGGGGAGCAAACAGG
Molecule: ribosomal RNA, 253 nt
Filed under: uncultured bacterium
Lineage: Bacteria
Description: partial 16S ribosomal RNA
Rfam family: Bacterial small subunit ribosomal RNA
Source: RNAcentral